CUCAAUGCUAAUGCUGGGUGGAUAAUGCAGCAUUGCUGGAGGGAUUAAAGGCAAAUUACCUCUUAGCCUUUGAAGGUUCUUCUAAGUAGAGGGAUCUGUUGCUUAAUUCACAUUUUAAUGCAUUUAAUAGCUCUAAAAAUAUUUUAUCUGGACCUCCUAUUUGCCAGACAUUCUAAUAGGUUCUAUGAAGGAUUUAGACAAAGACUCAGCCAUAGGUCCUAUCAUCGAGAUUCUUCCAGUCUGUGAGGAGGCACAAACCUGCAUAAAUGUAAUUACAUUAUAAUAUUGCAGGUGUAAAAUAAAAGUAUGUUAAGAGCAAAGAGUUGGCAUAUGAUUAACAGCUAUGAUAUGCAGGCAAGACUUCCAGAUGAGUUGCUGAUGAAACUUGUGUGAGGCACAAAAAAGAUGGAUAAGAGUUUCACAGGAGUGUAAAAUGGCAAUGUGCAUUAUGUGUUUGUUAAGGGGUAUCAAGAUGUGGAAGACAUCAUCUGUGAUUCUUCUUGAGUCUUGGACUCUGUAAAAUCCACAUUGUCAAGUCAUAAGUCAACUUGAAGCUCAGAGGCUGCCUGUGUUGGGAAAAAGGGUGUGAAUCUCCAGGGCAAGACAAAGAUUAAGUAAUGGAUGCUUUGAUGUUGUUUCCUUGAAUGCGUCUAUCUCAUGUGUGUUUCUCCCCAAAUAUUUGGUGAUAAUGUGGUUUGGCUGAAGGAGAGAAUGUUUGUUGAACAUUAUGUCAGCAUAAUAUCAGCUUUAGAAUUUCACAGAUAUCUAAGUGUCCUAAGAGACCAACUGGACUGGAUAUCAGACCAAGAUUCUGAUAAAAGGGGAUAACAGAGAUUAACCGGAGCAGAAAAAGUACUUUUCUGAGCCAGAGAUAACAAGAGAAACUUAAAGAAAGUGCUGAAGCAAGAAACUUUAAGCCUGUGAGUAGGAUGAACCUAACCAGUUGGCAGUGCCUCGUACUCUGUGAUGGAUUUUCCGAAGACCAAAUGUACCAUUUUCUUGUCUUUUCAAAGAGAGCCACACAGGAAGGAAAACAAGAAAUUCAACUUUUAAGCUGGGCUAUUCAUGGCCUUUGCUAAAUCCUGGCAGAAUUUCACAGUUCUUCAUUACAAUUCAUCUCACUGAUUUCCUAAUGCAAUGAACUGGCCUUUUCAUUAAGGCCAUAGGGAAUGAAGCUGAGUUACCCAAUCAUUAAGUGUUGUUAUCUGAUGAGUGAAAAAUGGAUUACUUUUCGAUGUGCAUUUGGGGAGCCGUGUGUGUGUGUGUGUGUGUUUCCACUAGAUUCCAUUUUGCGAAAAUUGGUUCAAGUGGAAGGACAGGGUUAAUCUUUCAUGUUCUGUUCUGCUAGAACACUAUAUGGCUUUCUGCUCUGUGAGCAGGCAAAGAAAAAUUGGUGGGCUCAGGAAUCAGAAAUGCAGGGCCAACAGUCCUGUUUCUCACUUUCGAUAAAGGCCAACAUUUUACCUGCUCAAGAACACUCUAUUCCUUUAACCAACGGGAGUGUUAUUUAAUUAGUUCCUUCGUUUUUCAGCUAAAGCAGACACAUGCGCACAUCACACACACAUGCAUGCGCUGUGGUGUUUUUUCUUCUAUCACCCCUCCCUCCACAGAGAUAUCAAUUUGCAUAAGAGGAGAAAAUAAAUUCAUUUAAACCCCAUUCUAAAUUCAGUAUUAGAAAUGUAAUGAUCUCUAACACUGACCUUUUUAAAAUACUUUGUGGAUAAACCAUUGAUUUUAUUUGUUCUAAAUUUACUUUAAAAGACCUGUUUUGUAAAUCACUAAAACACAUGUAUUUUAUUUACCUGUUUGGGAUAAUAUUAAACAUAAUCUUUGAGGGUACUAUUUUGUCUAUUAUAGUUUUAUUCUAUAACAUAGAUUGAACCGUUUUCAUAUCCAAUUCAUUUUCAUUAAAUUUUUAAAUGGUAGUGGUUUAGGCUUGGGAUUAGAUAAUACAUAGCCCAUUUGAUAUAACAUUAAAGCAUCUUUAUUAGAUGUAAAUAAUUUAUCACCCAGGUGUUUAGUUUACAGAGUACUAAAUAUUUACAUAUUUCAUAACAUGUAAAUCAAAUGCUAAAUAAAAAAUUUUAAUUUGCCAUCCUGUUAUUUUAGCAUUAUAUAAACACAUUUGCAAAGAUUUUAAUGUUUUAAUGUGAAUUAAAGGUACAUGUACCUAACCUCUUAUCUUUCUACCAAUCCUAGUAUGCAUAUAUCUGAAAUAGUAGUGUGUGAGGUGUGUGUGUGUAUGUGUGUGUUCAUGUGUGUGACAGAGUGUAUUAUGUUUUUUGAAAUGCAGAGAUUAGGAUAAAGGAAACCAUAAAUGCAAAAUAAAUUAAUUCUCUAGAAUAAUUGUAUGCAGUGGUCUACACAAUUUUGUUAAAUUUGGCUCAUUCAUUUUUUUGUCUCACGUAUAAAUCAAAGUAAAUAGUUAAAACAUGAAGUAUGUUCUUUCCUAAGUUGGAUUGUGGUUUACAAGAUAUUGAAACAACUGAGCAUUAUAAAUAUAGCCAGUCAAUUUGUUGGGGGCUAAGAAAAAAAAAUGAAAGAAAAAAAGAAAAUUGAAGUUGUAUUUUAUCUCCAUGCAGCACUAUACAAAUUCAAAACCAAAUUCAGGAUUUCUGAGCUUGUAAAAUCUGAACAGUAACUCUCUUCAUUUUAGCCUACCUAGAUCUAUAUUUUAAUCAAUGUAAUAUUAGCAACCUGUAUAGAUGACAAUGAGAUGAAGAUGUACAAAAAUGUACCCAACUGUUCCAUUUUGAAGAGUAAUAAUUAAUGAGAACACUUAUAUUUGGGCAAUAGCAAAUGAAAUUAUAAGACUAUGUAAGCGUGACU
This 2829-nucleotide long non-coding RNA is filed under the name Homo sapiens (human). RNAcentral's name for it is "HSALNT0244538". Lineage: Eukaryota; Metazoa; Chordata; Mammalia; Primates; Hominidae. The record is from RNAcentral.